This 520-nucleotide ribosomal RNA is filed under the name uncultured Archaeospora. RNAcentral describes it as "SSU rRNA". It matches the Rfam family "Eukaryotic small subunit ribosomal RNA", at positions 569 to 1093 of the family's 1831-position model. Lineage: Eukaryota; Fungi; Glomeromycota; Glomeromycetes; Archaeosporales; Archaeosporaceae. The record is from RNAcentral.
AGCAGCCGCGGUAAUUCCAGCUCCAAUAGCGUAUAUUAAAGUUGUUGCAGUUAAAAGCUCGUAGUUGAAUUUUAGGCCUGGCCAGGCGGUCCGUCUUUGGCGAGUACUGUCUUGUUGUCGGGUCUUCCUUCUGGUGAACCAGUAUGCCCUUUAUUGGGUGUGUUGGGGAGCCAGGACCAUUACCUUGAAAAAAUUAGAGUGUUUAAAGCGGGCUAUUGCUUGAAUAGAUUAGCAUGGAAUAAUAGAAUAGGACGUUGUGGUUCUAUUUUGUUGGUUUCUAGGACCACCGUAAUGAUUAAUAGGGAUAGUUGGGGGCAUUAGUAUUCAAUUGUCAGAGGUGAAAUUCUUGGAUUUAUUGAAGACUAACUAUUGCGAAAGCAUUUGCCAAGGAUGUUUUCAUUAAUCAAGAACGAAAGUUAGGGGAUCGAAGACGAUCAGAUACCGUCGUAGUCUUAACCAUAAACUAUGCCGACUAGGAAUCGGGCGACGUUAUUUUCAUGACUCGCUCGGCGCCUUAUGG